AUACCAUGAAGUGGGCACUUCCUUAAAAACUCUUUAAAUCUUUCUCAUGCAUCAUACAACGAUUCCCCUUCCGUCUGGUAAAAAUUAUUAAUUUCCCCUCUCAACUU
This is a small nucleolar RNA of Humulus lupulus (European hop), 107 nucleotides long. The record is from RefSeq and is a predicted model, not a curated record. Lineage: Eukaryota; Viridiplantae; Streptophyta; Magnoliopsida; Rosales; Cannabaceae.